Molecule: non-coding RNA, 23 nt
Filed under: Cricetulus griseus (Chinese hamster)
Lineage: Eukaryota; Metazoa; Chordata; Mammalia; Rodentia; Cricetidae
Source: RNAcentral
AGGAACUGGAGAGAUGGCUCAGG